RNAcentral lists this long non-coding RNA (446 nucleotides) under Aotus nancymaae (Ma's night monkey). RNAcentral describes it as "lncRNA (ENSANAG00000038951.1)". The record is from RNAcentral. Lineage: Eukaryota; Metazoa; Chordata; Mammalia; Primates; Aotidae.
CGUCCUCCUCCCGCCUGUCCUUGGUCCACUCUUCUCUCAGUCGGUGCUCCACGGCCCUGUUUGGGGCUCGCCUGAGUGCUGGGCUCUGUAGACGCGGAGUGGGCCAGGCGAGCCCCUGACCCCCGGAGGUAGCAGAUCCAGAGGAAUCAGCAGAGGCUUCCUGGAGGAGGUUUUUGUACCCCUAGGAGGACUGUGUCUUCCUCAUCUUUGUCUUCAGAAGAUAAAUACAAGGCCUGACACAGCAAGCAUUAGGUGCCAUCUAAUCACCCUGGAUCUCCUAACGGGUCUCUCCACUCCACCCUGGAUUUCCUGCCUUACCCUUCACAAGCAGCCAUGGUGGGUUCCUUCAAAUACAACUCUUCAAAGAAAUAUUUUUAAUAUUAAAGACACUUUAUCAUGAAAGCAAUACUUGCUUAUUGAGCAAAAUGUCAAACACUACAGAGAGG